This 378-nucleotide unclassified non-coding RNA is filed under the name plant metagenome. RNAcentral describes it as "partial contains 5.8S ribosomal RNA, internal transcribed spacer 2, and large subunit ribosomal RNA". The stretch from base 1 to 105 matches the Rfam family "5.8S ribosomal RNA", at positions 50 to 154 of the family's 154-position model. The record is from RNAcentral.
GAAAUGCGAUAAGUAAUGUGAAUUGCAGAAUUCAGUGAAUCAUCGAAUCUUUGAACACACCUUGCGCUCCUUGGUAUUCCUUGGAGCAUGCCUGUUUGAGUAUCAUGAAAUCUUCAAAGUAAAUCUUUUGUUAACUCAAUUGGUUUCUACUUUGGUAUUGGAGGUCUUUGCAGCUUCACACCUGCUCCUCUUUGUUCAUUAGCUGGAUCUCAGUGUUAUGCUUGGUUCCACUCGGCGUGAUAAGUUAUCUAUCGCUGAGGACACUGUAAAAGGUGGCCAAGGUAAAUGCAGAUGAACCGCUUCUAAUAGUCCAUUGACUUGGGCAAUACUUUUAUGAUCUGAUCUCAAAUCAGGUAGGACUACCCGCUGAACUUAAGC